AGACAUGCACAUCAGAUACCUAUAACAAGCAAACGUUAUGUAUUGUUUCCUCUAUCUGGAGACUGUGACCUUUUCUCGUGAAGUUAAUAGCCACCCUGACAUGAACAGACUAGCAAACAAUUUACCUAGUGGCUGGUAUUUUCUCUGCCUUAAACAUUUCUGCCAAUUACAGUAUCAUAUUCCUAUCAAAAGCUAAACAGAAUGCUUUUUAAAAGACAGUCAAAACACUAUUGAACUCGAUUUUAAACGGCUAAAGAAGUGCAAAGUUUAGUGGCACCUGAUGUUCAAAUCCUGAGUGAUA
Molecule: long non-coding RNA, 301 nt
Filed under: Capsicum annuum
Lineage: Eukaryota; Viridiplantae; Streptophyta; Magnoliopsida; Solanales; Solanaceae
Description: long non-coding RNA (CANN_LNC020521)
Source: RNAcentral